Molecule: long non-coding RNA, 2706 nt
Filed under: Oryzias javanicus (javanese ricefish)
Lineage: Eukaryota; Metazoa; Chordata; Actinopteri; Beloniformes; Adrianichthyidae
Description: lncRNA (ENSOJAG00000015521.1)
Source: RNAcentral
CAAAAAAUAAGAAAUAUAUAUAUAUAUAUAUAUAUAUAUAUAUAUAUAUAUAUAUAAUAUAUAUAUAUAAUAUUAUAUAUAUAUAUAUAUAUAUAUAUAUAUAUUAUAUAUAAUAUAUAUAUAUGUACAUACAUACUACUGAAGUUGGAUAUCUAUCCAAAUAACGACAGGGCAGUGUCUUAGGAACAAAAGGAUGUCAAAGGGACGUUAUCCAUACGCAAAUACUAAAUCCAAGUCCACAAUUAGGAUUAGUAAGUACUUGUUAAGAAGAAUGCAUCAGGCCACACCCCUCCCACUGAAAGCAGCUCAGGAAACAUUGGAGGCGGGGCCAGCGGGCACCACAUGCUUUCACUGAGGCAUCUGAUUGGUCAUUUUAUACCUUGAAUAACUUGCAAUAAAGAAAAAUUAUCUUUAAAUAAAUUUGGAUUAGAAAGAACGUGUAGGAAGGAAGAAGCAGAGCAAGAAAUAAUUAUUCUGACAAAUAAAUUGACUGAGAAAUAACUGUCUAUUUCUCAAUGGAAGUCUGUGGGACUUUGACCUUCUAGCAACUCGCAGGUACUUCCUAUUUAGAACACGAGAGGGGAGGGGUCGCUCAGUUUGACGGUCUAUGCUCCAGACGUAUGAGGGCUUCUGGACUGAAGCUAAGUGCUGAUGUUUAAUGUCCACACGGAUGUUUCCAGGCUCUGACGAAUGUGUGUGCCUUUAGAGAUGCUUCAGAACCAGAUCCACAUCACACCACUUCUGAAGAAGAUCCAGAAGAUCCAGGACGGAUGUGAAGAGAUGCUGGAGACACUCAGAGAGCAUGUGGUCACCAUGGAUCUUCAUGAGUGGCCAUGUUGCUGCUGCCUCUGACUGUCCAUCAUUGGGCAUGUGAUGCUUUGGCCCCGCCUCCUCUGAGGCUCCUCCCAGCAAAAAGAAGUCAAAAAGCAGCAAGGCUCAAGCAAGAGUCAAGGUGUCGAAGAUGAAGAUCCGAUCCAUCCCAGUUUCCUGCUGGCUCCUCCGUGUUCCCAUGGUGAACAUCUCGUCUGGCAGGUUUUCAUUUUUAUAACAAUAAUAAUUACAGGUUAUUAUAUACUCUUUGAGAACAUAAAUAAAUACACAAUGUAACAUAUUUCAGACAGUUACGUUGUUUUGUUCCGGAUAUGCAGCCCAAUGGAGCAGCCUGGCAGGAAGUGACAGUCACCAACUUUCCAAUGAGAUUCUCCGAGAAUAGAUAUUGCUGGAAAAAGGACUGAUGCUGAUGGCAGACGUUAGUAAAUAUCUACAUGUAAGAACUCCUGUCCUCAGCUCCAUCUUAUCUAUAUGACCUCCAUUGGGAUUGGUGUAUCAUCUGCAUCAUAUGAAAGCUCUAUCUCUACUUUGUCUUGAGGUCUAACCACGUUCUGCUGCGCCAUGCUACAGGAAAGAAAACAACAUUUCGCUGAUUUAAGCAAGAAGCCGGGAUAUGGACUCAUAGAAGCAGACGACUGAUGCUGUAAUGACUGAUAUGAGCCAUGCUUGUGUGUUCAAAACAAUCAAACAUUAUCGAACAUUCAGUAAAAACCUCUUACCCGUUUCCCCUUUGAUUCACUAAGACAGGUGUCAAAGUCAAGGCUCAGGGGCCGGAUCCGGCCCUCCGGGUAAAUCUAUCCAGCCCUCAUUUUAUUUUAUUGCUAUUAAUGGCCCGAUGUUAUCUUGCGCUUAUUUCUAACUUGUAUAAUUUUGACAAAUUUUUUUUUUUCAGAGAUCUAAAAUAUUGAAAGUUAUUUAUAACCUGAGGCAUUGUCACUGAUGCUUACACACACAAUCUUAAACGUAAUGUUAACUUUUUUAACCGUUAACACGAUAAUUCCAGUAGAUUUUGAAGGAGAAAAGCAGCUUGUCUGUUUGUUUUAGUAAAUUUUGGUGUUUAGCUAAUAUUUCAGCUUCAUGCUAGCUGUUUUAGCUAAUUUGGGAUUUUUCAAAGUUUUUUAGGCUGUUUUGGAGUGAGACUAAUAUUUACACGCUAGCUGUUUUAGCUCAUUUAAGCUUUUCUCAGUUUUUUGGGCUAUUUUGAAGUUUAGCUAUUUUUCAGUUAAAUGCUAGCCGUUUUGGCUAACUCAGUUUUUUCUUUUAAGGUUUUUCAGGCUAAUUUGGCAUUUAGCUACUAUUUUAGCUGCUUUCAGCUUCAGCAUUUCAGCAAUUAGCUUCAGCAAUUUCUGCUAGCAUCUUCAGCAUCUUCAGCUAUCAGCACUGGCAUCUUCAGCGGGCAAAUUCAGUUUCCAGCAUUCACACUAGCAUUAUCACAGGUAAUGCUAUAUAUCUAGUUCAUAAUUAUUUUAAGAAGUUAUGGUUUCAAUUUUUUUUUUUUUGUUUUAGAGUGUUUAAUAAAUGUUUAUCCUAUUUGACAUAAGGAUGUUUUGGAUUUUGGCCCCUUGUGCCGUUAAGUUUGACACCCCUGCUCUUGGAUGUUCCUAAACUCUACAGCAGUGAUAUAUUUUUGGCCACCAGGUGGCGCAGUUAGCACCUUCUUUGCCUGCAGCUAUGAGUGAAAAAACCCACAAGUAAGUCAGCGCUGCAUGGGCUUUUUAAAUUCUCAAGAGCCUUCACGGUCACUUCCGAUGCUUUUGGCUUUCGUUUUUCAGCUAGCUCAGAUGGAGCGACAGCGGCAAACAGAUAAAGUCUAAAGAGCAGCUCCACGUCUCUCAUUAGGAACGUAGUUUACUGUUUUUCAUUGGAAGAAAGUUU